RNAcentral lists this ribosomal RNA (811 nucleotides) under Penicillium sp. Its description in RNAcentral is "partial large subunit ribosomal RNA". It matches the Rfam family "Eukaryotic large subunit ribosomal RNA", at positions 114 to 943 of the family's 3401-position model. The record is from RNAcentral. Lineage: Eukaryota; Fungi; Ascomycota; Eurotiomycetes; Eurotiales; Aspergillaceae.
UUUGAAAGCUGGCUCCUUCGGGGUCCGCAUUGUAAUUUGCAGAGGAUGCUUCGGAAUCGGCCCCCAUCUAAGUGCCCUGGAACGGGCCGUCAUAGAGGGUGAGAAUCCCGUCUGGGAUGGGGUGUCCGUGCCCGUGUGAAGCUCCUUCGACGAGUCGAGUUGUUUGGGAAUGCAGCUCUAAUUGGGUGGUAAAUUUCAUCUAAAGCUAAAUAUUGGCCGGAGACCGAUAGCGCACAAGUAGAGUGAUCGAAAGAUGAAAAGCACUUUGAAAAGAGAGUUAAAAAGCACGUGAAAUUGUUGAAAGGGAAGCGCUUGCGACCAGACUCGCCCGCGGGGUUCAGCCGGCAUUCGUGCCGGUGUACUUCCCCGCGGGCGGGCCAGCGUCGGUUUGGGCGGCCGGUCAAAGGCCCCUGGAAUGUAACGCCUCUCGGGGCGUCUUAUAGCCAGGGGUGCCAUGCGGCCUGCCCGGACCGAGGAACGCGCUUCGGCUCGGACGCUGGCAUAAUGGUCGUAAGCGACCCGUCUUGAAACACGGACCAAGGAGUCUAACAUCUACGCGAGUGUUCGGGUGUCAAACCCGUGCGCGCAGUGAAAGCGAACGGAGGUGGGAACCCCCCGGGGUGCACCAUCGACCGAUCCUGAUGUCUUCGGAUGGAUUUGAGUAAGAGCGUAGCUGUUGGGACCCGAAAGAUGGUGAACUAUGCCUGAAUAGGGCGAAGCCAGAGGAAACUCUGGUGGAGGCUCGCAGCGGUUCUGACGUGCAAAUCGAUCGUCAAAUUUGGGUAUAGGGGCGAAAGACUAAUCGAACCAU